This 429-nucleotide ribosomal RNA is filed under the name Chloroflexota bacterium. RNAcentral's name for it is "Chloroflexi bacterium partial 16S ribosomal RNA". It matches the Rfam family "Bacterial small subunit ribosomal RNA", at positions 355 to 776 of the family's 1533-position model. The record is from RNAcentral. Lineage: Bacteria; Bacillati; Chloroflexota.
UGGGGAAUAUUGCACAAUGGGCGCAAGCCUGAUGCAGCCAUGCCGCGUGUGUGAAGAAGGCCUUCGGGUUGUAAAGCACUUUCAGCGGGGAGGAAGGCGUUAAGGUUAAUAACCUUGGCGAUUGACGUUACCCGCAGAAGAAGCACCGGCUAACUCCGUGCCAGCAGCCGCGGUAAUACGGAGGGUGCAAGCGUUAAUCGGAAUUACUGGGCGUAAAGCGCACGCAGGCGGUCUGUCAAGUCGGAUGUGAAAUCCCCGGGCUCAACCUGGGAACUGCGUUCGAAACUGGCAGGCUAGAGUCUUGUAGAGGGGGGUAGAAUUCCAGGUGUAGCGAUGAAAUGCGUAGAGAUCUGGAGGAAUACCGGUGGCGAAGGCGGCCCCCUGGACAAAGACUGACGCUCAGGUGCGAAAGCGUGGGGAGCAAACAGG